AUUGAACGCUGGCGGCAGGCCUAACACAUGCAAGUCGAGUCGGAAAACGACUUUAACUAGAACCUUCGGGGGAACGUUAAGGGCGUCGAGCGGCGGACGGGUGAGUAAUGCCUAGGAAUUGCCUUGAUGUGGGGGAUAACCAUUGGAAACGAUCGGCGUAAUACCGCUAUGAUGUCCUACGGGCCAAAGACGGGGGACCUUCGGGACCUCUCGCGUCGAAGAUAUGCCUAGGUGGGAUUAGCUAGUUGGUGAGGUAAUGGCUCACCAAGGCGACGAUCCCUAGCUGGUCUGAGAGGAUGAUCAGCCACACUGGAACUGAGACACGGGUCCAGACUCCUACGGGAGGCAGCAGUGGGGAAUAUUGCACAAUGGGCGCAAGCCUGAUGCAGCC
This 391-nucleotide ribosomal RNA is filed under the name uncultured bacterium. RNAcentral's name for it is "bacterial SSU rRNA". It matches the Rfam family "Bacterial small subunit ribosomal RNA", at positions 30 to 393 of the family's 1533-position model. The record is from RNAcentral.